UGGGGAAUAUUGGACAAUGGGCGGAAGCCUGAUCCAGCAACGCCGCGUGAGGGAUGACGGCCUUCGGGUUGUAAACCUCUUUCAGUACCGACGAAGCGAAAGUGACGGUAGGUACAGAAGAAGGACCGGCCAACUACGUGCCAGCAGCCGCGGUAAUACGUAGGGUCCGAGCGUUGUCCGGAAUUAUUGGGCGUAAAGGGCUCGUAGGCGGUUUGUCGCGUCGGGAGUGAAAACAGCGGGCUUAACUCGUUGCUUGCUUUCGAUACGGGGCAGACUAGAGGUAUGCAGGGGAGAAUGGAAUUCCUGGUGUAGCGGUGAAAUGCGCAGAUAUCAGGAGGAACACCGGUGGCGAAGGCGGUUCUCUGGGCAUUACCUGACGCUGAGGAGCGAAAGUGUGGGGAGCGAACAGGAUUAGAUACCCUGGUAGUCCACACCGUAAACGUUGGGCGCUAGGUGUGGGGUCCUUUCCACGGAUUCCGUGCCGUAGCUAACGCAUUAAGCGCCCCGCCUGGGGAGUACAGCCGC
RNAcentral lists this ribosomal RNA (525 nucleotides) under uncultured bacterium. RNAcentral's name for it is "partial 16S ribosomal RNA". It matches the Rfam family "Bacterial small subunit ribosomal RNA", at positions 355 to 889 of the family's 1533-position model. The record is from RNAcentral.